This 523-nucleotide ribosomal RNA is filed under the name uncultured bacterium. Its description in RNAcentral is "partial 16S ribosomal RNA". It matches the Rfam family "Bacterial small subunit ribosomal RNA", at positions 29 to 523 of the family's 1533-position model. The record is from RNAcentral.
UACGAACGCUGGCGGCGUGCCUAAUACAUGCAAGUCGAACGCUUUUUCUUUCACCGGAGCUUGCUCCACCGAAAGAAAAGGAGUGGCGAACGGGUGAGUAACACGUGGGUAACCUGCCCAUCAGAAGGGGAUAACACUUGGAAACAGGUGCUAAUACCGUAUAACACUAUUUUCCGCAUGGAAGAAAGUUGAAAGGCGCUUUUGCGUCACUGAUGGAUGGACCCGCGGGGCAUUAGCUAGUUGGUGAGGUAACGGCUCACCAAGGCAACGAUGCAUAGCCGACCGGAGAGGGUGAUCGGCCACACUGGGACUGAGACACGGCCCAGACUCCUACGGGAGGUAGCAGUAGGGAAUCUUCGGCAAUGGACGAAAGUCUGACCGAGCAACGCCGCGUGAGUGAAGAAGGUUUUCGGAUCGUAAAACUCUGUUGUUAGAGAAGAACAAGGAUGAGAGUAAAACGUUCAUCCCUUGACGGUAUCUAACCAGAAAGCCACGGCUAACUACGUGCCAGCCGCCGCGGUAA